GAUCUUCCCCGUGAACUGUGUCGGGGUUUAAAUCUGUCCCACCCUCGCGUCCGACAGGGAUCGAACAUCCGACGGGUCCGAAUAGUUUCCCCGAUUGCUGCCUAAUUCAGGAAAAAUCUUCAAAAACUUUAAAAUCCAGAAAAUGAAUGAAAUACUUGAAUAUCUUGAUAUUAAAUGAAAUCCUGCCAUGUUCUAAUGUUCAAAACCAAAUAACGAAUGCUAGAAAUAAACUUAUAACUCCAAACUUCCAACUAACAACUAACAUCAGCCACCGGUACAUGUUCAUAAUCACCAAAACUGAAAUGUUCAGAAUAGAAAUAAACAUCAAACUUGCAGGCGGGCAACAUCAAUAACUUCCAACAAACAGCAUCAACUAGCACAUUACAAUAACCAACACCAUCAAUUCAACUUCCAACUCCAGUUCUCCAGCAAUUAUUAUAAUGAAUUCUUGAAUCCUACAAUGAGACAUAUCACAAAUUUGAGUUCAGACACUACAACUACCAUCAAAAGAUCAUCAAUGGUUAAGAAAUGAAACUGACUUACAUUUCAAUGAUAUGUAGAAAUCAAUCCUGAUCCUCUAAGUCCAAAUCUGUGUGUGCACGACCAUUUGGACAUGUGAGAUCUGUCAAGUGGUAGGUAUGAACAUGGUUAAUAAUCUCAGAUCAGACCGGCCGGUCCGACCGGUUCGACUGUAAACCGGCCGAAGAGCAGAAACCGAGUGUCUGACUGAUGCGAAUGGUCAAAAUUCGGCCGGUUGGACAGAAAUUGAUUGGCCGGUUGGACCCGAUUUUUAUGGCUACACUUUUUAAUAAAAAGUGUUGGAAGUGGGAUUUGAACUAUGGUCUUUCAAGUAGAGAGGAUGAGUGAUUACCAUCUCUACUAAUAUCACAAUUUGAUUACAACAUGCAUUUAAUGGAUACUAAUAAACAUCAUGGCAGCUAAAUUAACACUAAAAUGUAGUAGCUUACCAUAAAUUAAGUAAAUUGUACAUUAGAUCUCAAUUAUUUAAACUUCAAAUCAAUUAUAUAAUUUGUAAUUUCUUAAAAACUAAUUCAAUAACUAUACUUUUGACAAACUAAAUUAUGAUAUUGAACUCUCUAUACUACCGGUUUGAUCCAGCUCAAUCAAUAAAUCAUCUAAUCCGACUUAACUAUAUUUAUUUAUUUAUUUAAUAAUUAAAACGGUCCCACCCGGUUUUGAAAACGAUCAGACCCUGGUCGAAUCAUCAAACCCUGAACCCUAGCCUCGCCGGUUCAAUCUAUAGACCGAUUUUCAAAACCUUGGGUUUGAAGUUUGAAACUGAGAAUUAAUCAAACAAAAGACGUUUAAUUGUAAUUGGCAAGUUGAAAAUGGAAAACUAGUGUCUUAUACCUCAUUUUUCAAACUCUUCCCAACUUGCAUCAACUAGACCAUCUUACGCCUACUUUGGCUCAAUACCAGUAUCACCAUUAACAUUAUUACUAGUAGCCUCAGGCUGAGGAACUAACAGUGGGGGUUGGGAGGGAAGGGUCUGGCUACCUACACCAUUAGUUGUUGGUUGACUAUCGUUGGGUACUUCCUCAGAUAUAGCUUUGCCUCUUAAACUCUAAACGUUUCUUGCACCAACAAUCAACACUUUAGAUGGUAAACGAUGAUGCAUGUUUAUUAAACUGGAAUUCUGGAAAUCAAAACAUCAAAUUGGAGGCAUAGAGCAGCAGACUUACGCGUUCUUCUUUUGAAGAAUUUGACGGUAGCACAACAAGGAUCGGAUUCUUGAAUUUGUAUCAAUUACCAAACCAUAAAGGAUGAAAGGAUGAGAAUAGAUUAAAAUACGUAUCAUUGAUCUAUUUAUUCUAAGCGAAAUCAGAAAAAGGAAGAACAACAUGAUUGACCUGGAGAUUUGAAUUAUCAUGGAAUGGCUGAAAACUGCGAGAUUGAAGGGUUUUUUUGGUGAUACGGCGCUGGAUAUUACCUAAACCGUGGAAGAUAUUGAUGAUUCUCAGUGAAUUUCACUCCAAUCGAGCAAAAAUAGUGAGGAUCGAGAGGUUAGGGUUCGUGCAUGCGCUUUGGUGGUUUCAAAAUCGGAAAAUGAAAGGUCUUAG
This 2081-nucleotide long non-coding RNA is filed under the name Linum usitatissimum (flax). Its description in RNAcentral is "long non-coding RNA (LUSI_LNC003967)". The record is from RNAcentral. Lineage: Eukaryota; Viridiplantae; Streptophyta; Magnoliopsida; Malpighiales; Linaceae.